RNAcentral lists this long non-coding RNA (1131 nucleotides) under Anser brachyrhynchus (Pink-footed goose). RNAcentral's name for it is "lncRNA (ENSABRG00000005296.1)". Lineage: Eukaryota; Metazoa; Chordata; Aves; Anseriformes; Anatidae. The record is from RNAcentral.
CACAUCUGCAGGACUGCACUCUGUGCUCUCUCUUGCUGUCUGUGGGUGUUUUUCGGGUAACAGGGACACCAUGGACCCGAGCAGCUCAAAUUAAAGUAUUAAUUUGCUAACUGCAUUUCAGGAAAGGAACUGAAAACAUAGACUUUCAAGAAAAAUGAGGUGUGUAAUACGAUUAAAAUCAGUGGGAACUAGUUUUGCUUUGAGAAACUGAGCGAGUGUUUUUUAUAGUCACUGAGUGACUCUGACGGGACAGGGGGCUGAGCCUAGGUCUUCUCAGCUGUGGCUGUCUCUGCUCACCCACUGACCCCUGAUAACUUUGCUGUAGAGAGAUUUACAAACCCUGUCCUCCACAUAACCUGCAUCAGAGUUCUCAUUCUUACAUAAUGCUCCACCUUACACCUAACAUCCAUGCUACCUGGAUGAUGAAAGUCUGCCUGAGAGUCCCCAGAAAUCUGGCAGUGUCCUAGAAUUGCCCUUGCUCUUUUAAACAAGGGUCCCUAUAUUCACAGGCCUGAACUGCAGAGAAACCCUGCGUCCUGCCUUCCCCAGAUGACCACCAGGCAAAACCUUGGCCACUGGAAGCUCCGCACAGGCCAUGGAAUGCGUGAGGGAGCGCAAGCAGCUCUGAAGUGAAGCGGCACGCAGCAGCAGAGUCUACACAGUGACUACACGGGGCUGGAGGACUGAUACCACAGGAAACGGCUGCACUGCUGUUGAACAGCAGCACUGAAAGUCCUUCCUAGAAGAGAGCAAAGAGUGGGACCGUAGCUACCAUGUCCAGUGGGAUUUCUUCUUUCAGGCCAUCUCGCUCCUGGAUGGAUCAGCAUAUUUCUGUUUUGGUCAGGUCACUCCAUAAGCAUGCUCCUUGAGGCCCCAUGUCUAUGGCUUCAGGAAUUGAAGCCAGGCAAAGUGUUUACAACAUCAAGGCUGAGCUAGAAGCAAUAAGCCAUCAGGGUCAGGGAACUCCUUGAAAUAGAGACAGAAGGGCUCCGUGCUCCAUGCGGGCCCUGGGGCUCUGUUUCAGCUCCAUUGUUUUAUAACCCUCUUGAUUUUUGUAAUUUUUAGAGAAGGAUGCCUCUUGCGCUUUCUUUUACAGGUUCUGAUUCUACCGACCAUUUAAUGUGUAAAAAG